RNAcentral lists this ribosomal RNA (905 nucleotides) under uncultured Gammaproteobacteria bacterium. Its description in RNAcentral is "bacterial SSU rRNA". It matches the Rfam family "Bacterial small subunit ribosomal RNA", at positions 8 to 918 of the family's 1533-position model. Lineage: Bacteria; Pseudomonadati; Pseudomonadota; Gammaproteobacteria. The record is from RNAcentral.
AGAGUUUGAUUAUGGCUCAGAUUGAACGCUGGCGGCAGGCCUAACACAUGCAAGUCGAGCGGGGGUAGCAAUACCCUAGCGGCGAACGGGUGAGGAAUACGUGGGAAUCUGCCUCAUAGUGGGGGAUAACGUUCCGAAAGGAACGCUAAUACCGCAUACGUCCUACGGGAGAAAGGGGGGGAUCUUCGGACCUCUCGCUAUGAGAUGAGCCCACGUCGGAUUAGCUAGUUGGUGAGGUAAAGGCUCACCAAGGCGACGAUCCGUAGCUGGUCUGAGAGGAUGAUCAGCCACACUGGAACUGAGACACGGUCCAGACUCCUACGGGAGGCAGCAGUGGGGAAUAUUGGACAAUGGGGGCAACCCUGAUCCAGCCAUGCCGCGUGUGUGAAGAAGGCUUUCGGGUCGUAAAGCACUUUAAGCGGGGAGGAAGGCUUUUGGGUUAAUACCUUAAAAGAGUGACGUUACCCGCAGAAUAAGCACCGGCUAACUCUGUGCCAGCAGCCGCGGUAAUACAGAGGGUGCGAGCGUUAAUCGGAAUUACUGGGCGUAAAGCGCGCGUAGGCGGUUGUGUAAGUUGGAGGUGAAAUCCCCGGGCUUAACCUGGGCACUGCCUUCAAAACUGCACGGCUAGAGUAUGAGAGAGGAAGGUAGAAUUCCAGGUGUAGCGGUGAAAUGCGUAGAGAUCUGGAGGAAUACCGAUGGCGAAGGCAGCCUUCUGGCCUAAUACUGACGCUGAGGUGCGAAAGCAUGGGGAGCAAACAGGAUUAGAUACCCUGGUAGUCCAUGCCGUAAACGAUGUCAACUAGGUGUUGGGGAACUUGAUUCCUUAGUGCCGCAGCUAACGCAUUAAGUUGACCGCCUGGGGAGUACGACCGCAAGGUUAAAACUCAAAUGAAUUGACGGGG